GCCCUUAGAGUUUGAUCCUGGCUCAGAACGAACGCUGGCGGCGCGUCUUAAACAUGCAAGUCGGACGAGAAGCUCGGUGCUUGCACAUGAGUGGACAGUGGCGAACGGGUGAGUAACACGUGAGUUAUCUACCUUUGAGUCUGGGACAACUUCGGGAAACCGGAGCUAAUACCGGAUACGAGGCAACUUGAAAGGUGGGGAUCUUUUGACCUACCGCUUGGAGAUGAGCUCGCGGCCCAUUAGCUAGUUGGUGGGGUAAUGGCCUACCAAGGCGACGAUGGGUAGCCGGCCUGAGAGGGUGAUCGGCCACAUUGGGACUGAGAUACGGCCCAGACUCCUACGGGAGGCAGCAGUUAAGAAUAUUGGACAAUGGACGCAAGUUUGAUCCAGCGACGCCGCGUGAGCGAUGAAGGCCUUCGGGUCGUAAAGUUCAAUAGACAGGGAAGAAUAAGGUACGGGUAAUAUUCGUGCUGAUGACGGUACCUGUUGAAAGCCUCGGCUAAAUACGUGCCAGCAGCCGCGGUAAUACGUAUGAGGCAAGCGUUGUUCGGAAUUAUUGGGCAUAAAGGGCAUCUAGGCGGGAUAUUAAGUCGGGUGUGAAAGCCCAGGGCUCAACCCUGGAACUGCACUCGAUACUGGUAUUCUUGAGUUAGGAAGAGGAAGGCGGAAUUCCUGGUGUA
This 680-nucleotide ribosomal RNA is filed under the name uncultured bacterium. Its description in RNAcentral is "bacterial SSU rRNA". It matches the Rfam family "Bacterial small subunit ribosomal RNA", at positions 1 to 677 of the family's 1533-position model. The record is from RNAcentral.